Molecule: ribosomal RNA, 481 nt
Filed under: uncultured bacterium
Lineage: Bacteria
Description: partial 16S ribosomal RNA
Rfam family: Bacterial small subunit ribosomal RNA
Source: RNAcentral
GCCUAACACAUGCAAGUCGAACGAAGCUCUGCGAUACAAGACCUCGGUCAAGUUGAACGGAUGACUUAGUGGCGGACGGGUGAGUAACGCGUGAGGAACCUGCCUUUCAGUGGGGGAUAACAGUUGGAAACGACUGCUAAUACCGCAUAAUGUAUUCUGACCGCAUGAUCGGAAUACCAAAGAUUGAUUGCUGAAAGAUGGCGUCGCGUCUGAUUAGAUAGUUGGUGAGGUAACGGCCCACCAAGUCAACGAUCAGUAGCCGGACUGAGAGGUUGAACGGCCACAUUGGGACUGAGAUACGGCCCAGACUCCUACGGGAGGCAGCAGUGGGGAAUAUUGGGCAAUGGGGGAAACCCUGACCCAGCAACGCCGCGUGAAGGAAGAAGGCUUUCGGGUUGUAAACUUCUUUUACCAGGGACGAAGGACGUGACGGUACCUGGAGAAAAAGCCACGGCUAACUACGUGCCAGCCGCCGCAGUAA